GAUGAACGCUGACAGAAUGCUUAACACAUGCAAGUCUUUGGCAAAUCUGUGCUUGCACAGCAUAGCCAAGGCGGACGGGUGAGUAACGCGUAAAGAGCUUGCCCUGCAGUCUGGGAUAACAGACGGAAACGACUGAUAAAACCUGAUAUAAUCAAGCCCACGCAUGUGGUGCUUGAUGAAAAGAAAUGCUGCAGGAGAGCUUUGCGUCCUAUUAGCUUGUUGGUGGGGUAAUGGCCCACCAAGGCAAUGAUAGGUAGCCGGCCUGAGAGGGUGACCGGCCACAAGGGGACUGAGAUACGGCCCUUACUCCUACGGGAGGCAGCAGUGGGGGAUAUUGGACAAUGGGGGCAACCCUGAUCCAGCAAUUCUGUGUGCACGAAGAAGGUUUUCGGAUUGUAAAGUGCUUUCAGCAGGGAAGAAGAAAAUGACUGUGCCUGCAGAAGAGCGACG
Molecule: ribosomal RNA, 450 nt
Filed under: Leptotrichia sp. oral taxon 463
Lineage: Bacteria; Fusobacteriati; Fusobacteriota; Fusobacteriia; Fusobacteriales; Leptotrichiaceae
Description: bacterial SSU rRNA
Rfam family: Bacterial small subunit ribosomal RNA
Source: RNAcentral